GAGGGGAUAACUCAGUGGUAGAGCACGUGCUUAGUGCCCACGAGGUCCUGGGUUCAGUCCCCAGUACCUCCA
RNAcentral lists this transfer RNA (72 nucleotides) under Camelus bactrianus (Bactrian camel). It matches the Rfam family "tRNA". From Rfam's summary of the family: Transfer RNA (tRNA) molecules are approximately 80 nucleotides in length. Their secondary structure includes four short double-helical elements and three loops (D, anti-codon, and T loops). Further hydrogen bonds mediate the characteristic L-shaped molecular structure. tRNAs have two regions of fundamental functional importance: the anti-codon, which is responsible for specific mRNA codon recognition, and the 3' end, to which the tRNAs corresponding amino acid is attached (by aminoacyl-tRNA synthetases). tRNAs cope with the degeneracy of the genetic code in two manners: having more than one tRNA (with a specific anti-codon) for a particular amino acid; and 'wobble' base-pairing, i.e. permitting non-standard base-pairing at the 3rd anti-codon position. The record is from Rfam by way of RNAcentral. Lineage: Eukaryota; Metazoa; Chordata; Mammalia; Artiodactyla; Camelidae. RNAcentral also lists the same sequence under 2 other names.